AUUGAACGCUGGCGGCGGGCCUAACACAUGCAAGUCGAACGGUAACAGGAAGAAGCUUGCUUCUUUGCUUACGAGUGGCGGACGGGUGAGUAAUGUCUGUAAAACUGCCUUAUGGAGGGGGAAAACUAGUGGAAACGGUAGCUAAUACCGCAUAACGUCUCAAGACCAAAAAGCGGUACCUUAGGGCGUCUUUCCAUCGGCUUUUCCCAGGUGGGAUUAGCUAGUAGGUAGGGUAACGGCUCACCUAGGCGACGAUCCCUAGCUGGUCUGAGAGGAUGAUCAGCCACACUGGAACUGAGACACGGUCCAGACUCCUACGGGAGGCAGCAGUGGGGAAUCUUGCACAAUGGGCGCAAGCCUGAUGGAGCCAUGCCGCGUGUAUGAAGAAGGCCUUCGGGUUGUAAAGUACUUUCAGCGGGGAGGAAGGGAGUAAAGUUAAUACCUUCGCUCAUUGACGUUACCCGAAGAAGAAGCCCCGGCUAACUCCGUG
Molecule: ribosomal RNA, 490 nt
Filed under: uncultured bacterium
Lineage: Bacteria
Description: partial 16S ribosomal RNA
Rfam family: Bacterial small subunit ribosomal RNA
Source: RNAcentral